Molecule: long non-coding RNA, 1843 nt
Filed under: Nasonia vitripennis (jewel wasp)
Lineage: Eukaryota; Metazoa; Arthropoda; Insecta; Hymenoptera; Pteromalidae
Description: uncharacterized LOC116416117
Source: RNAcentral
GAUGAAUGAGGAUGAUGGGCGACCACGGGCUCACAAAACAUCUAUCAUCCCUCCGUCCGACAGGAGGCGAUAACGUCCCACGCGUCCAUGAUCGAAGUCCACUGCGGGGUAACCAACACAUUUUUGUUAGUUAUUGGAAAGAGUUAAUAAAUAGCCAAUGUGGACAAGAUUAAGGAGAUUAAAAAAGUAUGCAAAAAUCACACGUUUACCAUUACGCUACUGUGCUUUCAUUAAAUACGCUUACAACAAUCAAGUGAUGAACGCAAUGCAGUAUUUUUACGCGUUUACUGUAUUCGGGCAUGAAUAUUAUUUUUCUAUCAGGUCGUGUACAAACACAUGUUGAAGACUAUUACACGAUUGUAUGAAUCCGAAUAGCAAAUAGACAACGUGAAAAUGAAUGGUGCGUUCUUGAUUUUCUAAAUCAACAAUCAUGCUGUACCAAAUCAAUCUAACGGUUCUAGAAUACGUUUAUUGGUCAUAUACUGUGUUGACAUGCUUUGUUGAUGAAAAACAAACAGGAUAGAGAAACACAAACUAAUUCAAGUACAUUGCAUUAAGUACUGUAACAAGAUAAUAAACACACAUGCGUUUGAAUAAUCCUACGACGAAAAAUGUUACAUAAAGAUUUUGUAUGUCAGAAAUAAAGUGAGCUGAGUACAAAAAAUUUUAUCCGAUUUUGUACACAACGUAGCAAAUGUAGUGAAAUAAUAAUUCACUAAGCGACAUAAAAGGUAUUACAUACUAUAUAGUCAGAUAAUGUAUAAUACAUAAUCUUUAAAAAUAACUAUUAUAUUAUAACAAAUAAAAAUAAUAAUAAUAGUAUAAAAAUAUAACAAUAGGAAUAAACUGAUGACAGCAGUGGUUACGGCUGUACGUAUAGGCUUUUAACUAACGUAGCAAAAUGAGUAAAUACGAUUAUGGGCCCGCAAUAAUAAUAAUAAUAAUAUAUGUAUCGUAGGAAUAAUAUUAAUAAUAAUAAUAAUAAUAAUAAUAAUAAUAAUAAUAAUAAUAAUAACAACAAUGAUAAUAAUAAUAAAAUAAUAAUAAAAUAAUAUGAUAAUUAUAUACUAGUAACAAUAAUAGUGGCACAAUGUAUAAUGUAUAGUAUCACAAAAUAAUCAUUAUACGACACAACUACCUACAUUUAUUAAUGAAGUAAACUCUCGUAAUGUAACUUAAUUACGAUUGUUUCAACGUUCGUGCUUUUACUAAAAUGUGUGUACUGUAUUUGUGUGGUUUAGAGGGCAUAAAAAUCCACACGGUAGCACCUGAACGAUCAUCCUAUCCUUCAAUUGUCAACAUCAGAAAUAUUGAUGUGAAUUUUCAAAAAAAGGCAGUAUUGCCAAAACUUAACCACCUAAUAAAAAGGUACAACUUUUAAAAUAUGAUAGCAAAAGUCAUCACUAUUUUUCACAAAAUCUAUGAGCUAAUAUUUAAAAACGAUUCUCUCCUCAUGCAAAUGGAAACGCUUGGAACGGAUAUUUUUACUAGGAUAAUAAAUAAAUACAAAAUCUUCUAUGUAGUAACAUUGUUAUAAUCCAUCUGUUACAAAAUUGAAUAACUUAAAGUAUUAUGCGAUUGAUUUUGACCUAAUAUGAUAUUUUGUGAUCAAUUAAAAAUUUCUUUCACUUAAAUUUUAGAUAAUUGAAGUUUUAUGCCACCGAUAUUGAAGGUGAACAAAAAAUAAUUAUCGUUUUACAAUUGAUGUGUAACUAAAUUUUUUCAAAACUCACGCGGAAUCCAUCCGUGUGACAUAAAACUAUAUGAUGUGCACUAUGGGAAAGGAGACCAUUUGCCUUUAUUUAUAUCUUUGCCAUAGUUGGCUUUAGUGCAUAAUGAGCAC